Molecule: long non-coding RNA, 719 nt
Organism: Bactrocera dorsalis (oriental fruit fly)
Lineage: Eukaryota; Metazoa; Arthropoda; Insecta; Diptera; Tephritidae
Exons: 2
Source: RefSeq, a predicted model, not a curated record
UUGAACUUCAAUUCUAAAAGAUUCCCAACAACAAUUCUAGACCACUACCUUUUACCUUAAGAAAGCAGUGUGACCAAUACACAUUCGCGCAUACAUAAGCUGCAUAAUACAGUUGGCUUGCAGCUGAGAGGUAAAAAUUGAAAGUGGACACACCGAUUCGAUAUUCAAAUGAGAUUGUGGCUUUGCAUUUAAGUAGGUGACACAGAUUUUGUAUAAAAACUCAAGCGCCCUUUGGAAAAGUUAUCAAACAGUCUUUACUUUUGUGCAACAAACUCAAACGCAAAAAUGUUCAACCUUUUCAAAGUGCUCAUCGUGAUCGCCGCCUUGGUGUGCAUUGCUGUUGCCGAUCCAAGUAUCGUGGGACCCGGCCUCGUCCACGGUCUUGGUGCUGUAGCUGUGGGACCAGUUGGACCAGUCGGCCCAAUUGUUGGUGUAGGUCUGGGUCAUGGUGGCAUUCAUGGUCAUUUACAUGGUUAAAUAACUACUUCUAAGCCAUACCAAUUGGACUGCCAACAUUCCCCACUGGACAACUCCCUUUGCAGACUUACUUUUUCGCACCCCACAUCACUUAUGGAACCACGAAUGUUAGGAAUUUCGCAACUUAGUAUAUCUUUGUGUCUCGUUCGUUGCAUUGUUGCGUAUUCCUUUAUCAAUAAUUUUUUGUAAAAAUGUAUUUUCUUAGUUUGAUUUAAAUAAAUAUACAAUAAACUGACAGCAAA